This 2322-nucleotide ribosomal RNA is filed under the name Salmonella enterica subsp. enterica serovar Thompson. RNAcentral's name for it is "partial 23S ribosomal RNA". It matches the Rfam family "Bacterial large subunit ribosomal RNA", at positions 711 to 2925 of the family's 2925-position model. Lineage: Bacteria; Pseudomonadati; Pseudomonadota; Gammaproteobacteria; Enterobacterales; Enterobacteriaceae. The record is from RNAcentral.
AGACCCGAAACCCGGUGAUCUAGCCAUGGGCAGGUUGAAGGUUGGGUAACACUAACUGGAGGACCGAACCGACUAAUGUUGAAAAAUUAGCGGAUGACCUGUGGCUGGGGGUGAAAGGCCAAUCAAACCGGGAGAUAGCUGGUUCUCCCCGAAAGCUAUUUAGGUAGCGCCUCGUGAAUUCAUCUCCGGGGGUAGAGCACUGUUUCGGCUAGGGGGCCAUCCCGGCUUACCAACCCGAUGCAAACUGCGAAUACCGGAGAAUGUUAUCACGGGAGACACACGGCGGGUGCUAACGUCCGUCGUGAAGAGGGAAACAACCCAGACCGCCAGCUAAGGUCCCAAAGUCAUGGUUAAGUGGGAAACGAUGUGGGAAGGCCCAGACAGCCAGGAUGUUGGCUUAGAAGCAGCCAUCAUUUAAAGAAAGCGUAAUAGCUCACUGGUCGAGUCGGCCUGCGCGGAAGAUGUAACGGGGCUAAACCAUGCACCGAAGCUGCGGCAGCGAACGUAUCACUUAAAGCGAUUCAGCGGGUUACGAUUGACGGAGCGAAGCGACGUCAAAGCGUAUACAAAGUCGAGUCGGUUUAAGGAUACGUUCGUUGGGUAGGGGAGCGUUCUGUAAGCCUGUGAAGGUGGCCUGUGAGGGUUGCUGGAGGUAUCAGAAGUGCGAAUGCUGACAUAAGUAACGAUAAAGCGGGUGAAAAGCCCGCUCGCCGGAAGACCAAGGGUUCCUGUCCAACGUUAAUCGGGGCAGGGUGAGUCGACCCCUAAGGCGAGGCCGAAAGGCGUAGUCGAUGGGAAACGGGUUAAUAUUCCCGUACUUGGUGUUACUGCGAAGGGGGGACGGAGAAGGCUAUGUUGGCCGGGCGACGGUUGUCCCGGUUUAAGCGUGUAGGUGUGUGUUCCAGGUAAAUCCGGUUCACUUUAACACUGAGGCGUGAUGACGAGGCACUACGGUGCUGAAGCAACAAAUGCCCUGCUUCCAGGAAAAGCCUCUAAGCAUCAGGUAACAUCAAAUCGUACCCCAAACCGACACAGGUGGUCAGGUAGAGAAUACCAAGGCGCUUGAGAGAACUCGGGUGAAGGAACUAGGCAAAAUGGUGCCGUAACUUCGGGAGAAGGCACGCUGACACGUAGGUGAAGUGAUUUACUCAUGGAGCUGAAGUCAGUCGAAGAUACCAGCUGGCUGCAACUGUUUAUUAAAAACACAGCACUGUGCAAACACGAAAGUGGACGUAUACGGUGUGACGCCUGCCCGGUGCCGGAAGGUUAAUUGAUGGGGUCAGCGCAAGCGAAGCUCCUGAUCGAAGCCCCGGUAAACGGCGGCCGUAACUAUAACGGUCCUAAGGUAGCGAAAUUCCUUGUCGGGUAAGUUCCGACCUGCACGAAUGGCGUAAUGAUGGCCAGGCUGUCUCCACCCGAGACUCAGUGAAAUUGAACUCGCUGUGAAGAUGCAGUGUACCCGCGGCAAGACGGAAAGACCCCGUGAACCUUUACUAUAGCUUGACACUGAACAUUGAGCCUUGAUGUGUAGGAUAGGUGGGAGGCUUUGAAGCGUGGACGCCAGUCUGCGUGGAGCCGACCUUGAAAUACCACCCUUUAAUGUUUGAUGUUCUAACGUGGACCCGUAAUCCGGGUUGCGGACAGUGUCUGGUGGGUAGUUUGACUGGGGCGGUCUCCUCCUAAAGAGUAACGGAGGAGCACGAAGGUUGGCUAAUCCUGGUCGGACAUCAGGAGGUUAGUGCAAUGGCAUAAGCCAGCUUGACUGCGAGCGUGACGGCGCGAGCAGGUGCGAAAGCAGGUCAUAGUGAUCCGGUGGUUCUGAAUGGAAGGGCCAUCGCUCAACGGAUAAAAGGUACUCCGGGGAUAACAGGCUGAUACCGCCCAAGAGUUCAUAUCGACGGCGGUGUUUGGCACCUCGAUGUCGGCUCAUCACAUCCUGGGGCUGAAGUAGGUCCCAAGGGUAUGGCUGUUCGCCAUUUAAAGUGGUACGCGAGCUGGGUUUAGAACGUCGUGAGACAGUUCGGUCCCUAUCUGCCGUGGGCGCUGGAGAACUGAGGGGGGCUGCUCCUAGUACGAGAGGACCGGAGUGGACGCAUCACUGGUGUUCGGGUUGUCAUGCCAAUGGCACUGCCCGGUAGCUAAAUGCGGAAGAGAUAAGUGCUGAAAGCAUCUAAGCACGAAACUUGCCCCGAGAUGAGUUCUCCCUGAGACUUAGAGUCUCCUGAAGGAACGUUGAAGACGACGACGUUGAUAGGCCGGGUGUGUAAGCGCAGCGAUGCGUUGAGCUAACCGGUACUAAUGAACCGUGAGGCUUAACCUUAC